Molecule: ribosomal RNA, 451 nt
Filed under: uncultured bacterium
Lineage: Bacteria
Description: partial 16S ribosomal RNA
Rfam family: Bacterial small subunit ribosomal RNA
Source: RNAcentral
GAUGAACGCUGGCGGCGUGCCUAACACAUGCAAGUCGAGCGGCAGCGAGGGGUGCUUGCACCCUGUCGGCGAGCGGCGGACGGCUGAGUAACGCGUGGGAACGUGCCCCAAAGUGAGGAAUAACUGCCCGAAAGGGUAGCUGAUACCGCAUAUUAUCUUCGGAUCAAAGGAUUUAUCCGCUUUGGGAGCGGCUCGCGUCGGAUUAGGUAGUUGGUGAGGUAAUGGCUCACCAAGCCGACGAUCCGUAGCUGGUCUGAGAGGAUGACCAGCCAGACUGGAACUGAGACACGGUCCAGACUCCUACGGGAGGCAGCAGUGAGGAAUCUUCCACAAUGGGCGAAAGCCUGAUGGAGCAACGCCGCGUGCAGGACGAAGGCCUUCGGGUUGUAAACUGCUUUUAUAAGUGAGGAAUAUGACGGUAACUUAUGAAUAAGGAUCGGCUAACUACGUG